UAAGGGCGCACGGUGGAUGCCUUGGCACUAGAAGCCGAUGAAGGACGUUACUAACGACGAUAUGCUUUGGGGAGCUGUAAGUAAGCUUUGAUCCAGAGAUUUCCGAAUGGGGAAACCCAGCAUGAGUUAUGUCAUGUUAUCGAUAUGUGAAUACAUAGCAUAUCAGAAGGCACACCCGGAGAACUGAAACAUCUUAGUACCCGGAGGAAGAAAAAGAAAAUUCGAUUCCCUUAGU
Molecule: ribosomal RNA, 235 nt
Filed under: Staphylococcus aureus
Lineage: Bacteria; Bacillati; Bacillota; Bacilli; Caryophanales; Staphylococcaceae
Description: partial 23S ribosomal RNA
Rfam family: Bacterial large subunit ribosomal RNA
Source: RNAcentral